RNAcentral lists this long non-coding RNA (2379 nucleotides) under Elaeis guineensis (African oil palm). RNAcentral describes it as "long non-coding RNA (EGUI_LNC077509)". Lineage: Eukaryota; Viridiplantae; Streptophyta; Magnoliopsida; Arecales; Arecaceae. The record is from RNAcentral.
UGACUUUAGAAAGUUGGAUAACAAUAAGGUUAAAAAAAUUUGGAUUCCAAAACGAACUACUCUAACUAACCUCAAAGAAUCCAAGAAAGCUUGAAUACCUAAAAUUACAACUUAGCUUUUUCUUAUAUAUGGGUCUUGUAGCCAAUAAAAGAAAAAAAAAUAAUAUCUUGAUAGUGGCUAUUCAUGGCAUAUGAUGGGUGAUAAGAUACAAUUUAUUAUCUUUAAAACAAAGAAAGGAGCAAUGAUGACCUUUGGCAAUAAUGACAAAGAACACAUUGUAGGAGUUGGUGUGGUGCUCCCAAGCCUUGAAAGGCUACAGAAGGAGUCAGGGUGUUGGCUCCAGAAGGCUAGGAUCGGUUUGGAUCCUAAGGCUAAGACAGGAGUGAUCCUAGGGUGGAGGCGAUGCAUAGCUCUCCAUGAGCUUGAGGUUUAGGUGAUGAGGACUUCGAAGGGCAUGGUUGGGGCUCUGAGUAUCUGGAGACACAUGAUGGAGCAAGAAAUCAGAGCUAGGACUGAAGCUACAGAGGAUCAAGUAGAUUUAGGGUGUUAGUUGGCUCAGACUUAGACUGGAUCGACUAAGUCACAGACGGAUUGAUCCAGUCCAAAUCUGGAUCGACUAUGUCUCAGAAAAUAAAAGAUAAACUUUUCAAAAAAACUGACAUGGUAUGCAGGUUAGUUGACUUAGUGCCAAUUUGAGUCGACUAAAUCUCAAGUUAGUCGAUUAAGUUUGAGACUGAGCCGCCUUAGUGUCACGGACAAAGUAGCACGGGUUUUCUUUUUGGGUCUCGGAUUGGAUUUUGAUCCUAGGAUCUUAAGGCAUGGUUUGAUAGGUCUUAAAGGGGCUAACUCAGGAUUUGGACUAGGAAUAAGUUCAAGGGAUGAGAGCUUGUGAGAUAUGGAUGUACAUGAGCUCGAUUAGUACUUUCUUGUAUAGGUUCAGCCAGGAGAGUUUUUGGUCGGGUCUAUUAGGAUUUCAAGAUAUAGUGGAAUAUAGAUCUUUUCUCUCUCAAUCUCUCUUCUCUCUUUUUCUAGUGUUGUCGCCCUAGGUUCCUUGAAGAAUCCCUAAAGAAAGUGGGGCGCCUCCCUCAAGCCCUAGGAUGGAGGUGCCCCAUCACAGAUCUAGAUAGUGGAUCGGUGUUCGUUGCCUUCAAAGAGUCCGGAUCUAUCAUAGAUCUCCUCAGGUACAUGCAGAAAAUCCAAGAGUUCCUGAUAGAUGCAGUCAAGAUUUUUCUAACAAUUAGUAUCAGAGUCUAGUAGAGCAUAAAAGAGAAGGAGAAGUCAUACAAGGUGAAAUAAGAAAUUUGCACACCUAUUCACAGUAUGUCUCAGAUCUACUUUCAUUUUUACUGUGGUUAGGCCAAUCGAAAGCAGAGGGUUGAAGGUAGAGGUUGAGAAGAUUGACGGGAAGGAAUGUUUUCCAAGGUGGAAGGUUUGGAUGCAUAAUUUGCUGAUCCAACUUUGGUUGGAGGCAGUCGUGGUGGAAAGAUCAGGAUGUAUGGCAGAUAGAUGAUAAGGAUCUCUGGGGAGAAGGAUAGCAUGGGGGCAGUUUGGUAGAUGAGGAGAGUUCACCCAAGGGGUAAUGGUCAAGGGAAGCUGAAGAAAUGACUGUAGCCUUCAAGUGUAGGAAGGUGGGGAAGUAGUCAGGGAUGCAUUCAAUGGUUUGACGAUAGUGGGGCGUAAAAAAAAAAUAGCACAUGGGGGUUUUAAGUUGGUUAAGUCCAAUUCCAAAUAUGGCUCAAGAUCUUGUUCCAACUCUAACUAACCCUUGGACCCAAUUCUAACCAAUUUAGGAAUUAAUUAUAACAAACUAACUAAUUGGGUUCCAGCCCAAUUAUGAAAUCAAUUAGGCCCCAAUCCAAUUAAAAUUAGUUAGAUUAAAACCCUAUUGAUCCAGGGAUUGAUUCUUAAUGGAUAUCAGGAAAAUUUUUGACAAUAAGGCUUGAUCCAAUCAAGCCUAUUAUCCAAUAGGGUUUUAUCCAAACUAAGCCUAUAUAAACUAAUUGAAUUAUAUUCAAUUUAGAAUUUGAUUUGCAUCACUGAGAUCAAUUGGAAUAAAUCCUAUUAUCAAUAGGGAUGCAUCCAAUCAGUUCAAAGCCAAUCUAAUUGAAUCCAAUUCAAUUAGAUCUAAUACAAUCCCCAUUGCUAAAUCAAAUUGAGCCAAUUAACAAUCAUAUUGUUAAUUAAUUAUUUUUUUAAUUUAUCAAUAUUAGUAAAUAAUUUAUUACAACCUUUGCAUAGGAUUAAUCAUCAAUCAAAUUGAUCAUUAAAUCCUUCAACAAUUCAUAAUCGUCGAUCAGCCAUUUGAUCAGACAGGUAUUUCUAUGUGUGUGACCCCAUAAGUUCAAACCUAAGCCGGUAGCAUAAAAAUAAUUUAUGUAC